RNAcentral lists this ribosomal RNA (372 nucleotides) under uncultured organism. Its description in RNAcentral is "bacterial SSU rRNA". It matches the Rfam family "Bacterial small subunit ribosomal RNA", at positions 526 to 896 of the family's 1533-position model. The record is from RNAcentral.
CAGAGGGUGCGAGCGUUGUCCGGAAUCACUGGGCGUAAAGGGCGCGUAGGUGGCUCCGCAAGUCCAUGGUGAAAGCUCGUCGCUCAACGACGAGUCGGCCACGGAUACUGCAGGGCUGGAGCACUGUAGAGGCAGAUGGAAUUCCGGGUGUAGCGGUGGAAUGCGUAGAGAUCCGGAAGAACACCGGUGGCGAAGGCGGUCUGCUGGGCAGUUGCUGACACUGAGGCGCGACAGCGUGGGGAGCAAACAGGAUUAGAUACCCUGGUAGUCCACGCCGUAAACGAUGGGCACUAGAUGCUUGGGGGAGCGACCCCCUGAGUGUUGUCGCUAACGCAGUAAGUGCCCCGCCUGGGGAGUACGGCCGCAAGGCUG